UUACAACAUAUAUUCACUGAGGCAAAAGGGAUCCCUGUCUACCACUAUGAAUCAUUGACCCAUUUUCGGGCCAUUCUCAUUUUUCGAUCUAAACUAUAACUGCACUCGCACUUUGGCAUUGUGGCUCUACAUGUACCUAUCGUUUGUCCUUUCUCAUUAGAGGGACCACCGAUCAUCCUAGGAAGUGGCUCACCAACAUUUUUUUAG
Molecule: long non-coding RNA, 207 nt
Filed under: Carica papaya (papaya)
Lineage: Eukaryota; Viridiplantae; Streptophyta; Magnoliopsida; Brassicales; Caricaceae
Description: long non-coding RNA (CPAP_LNC005834)
Source: RNAcentral